CCUACGGGUGGCAGCAGUGGGGGAUAUUGCACAAUGGGGGAAACCCUGAUGCAGCGACGCCGCGUGUGGGAAGACGGUCCUCUGGAUUGUAAACCACUGUCCCCAGGGACGAAGAUGACGGUACCUGGGGAGGAAGCCCCGGCUAACCACGUGCCCGCAGCCGCGGUAAUACGUAGGGAGCGAGCGUUGUCCGGAAUUACUGGGGGAAAAGGGGGCGUAGGCGGGACUGCAAGUUGGGUGGAAAAUCUACCGGCUAAACCGGUAGCAGCACUCGAAACUGCAGUUCUUGAGUGAAGGAGAGGCAGGCGGAAUUCCUAGUGUAGCGGUGAAAUGCUUAGAUAUUGCGCAGAACUCCGGUUGCGAAGGCAGCAUACCGGCGGCGAUCUGACGCUGAGGCGCGAAAGCGUGGGUAUCGAACAGGAUUAGAUACCCCUGUAGUC
Molecule: ribosomal RNA, 440 nt
Filed under: uncultured bacterium
Lineage: Bacteria
Description: partial 16S ribosomal RNA
Rfam family: Bacterial small subunit ribosomal RNA
Source: RNAcentral